This 327-nucleotide ribosomal RNA is filed under the name uncultured bacterium. RNAcentral's name for it is "bacterial SSU rRNA". It matches the Rfam family "Bacterial small subunit ribosomal RNA", at positions 30 to 355 of the family's 1533-position model. The record is from RNAcentral.
AUUGAACGCUGGCGGCAUGCCUUACACAUGCAAGUCGAACGGCAGCGGACCUUCGGGUGCCGGCAAGUGGCGAACGGGUGAGUAAUAUAUCGGAACGUACCUUUCAGUGGGGGAGUAACGUAGCGAAAGUUACGCUAAUACCGCAUAUUCUGUGAGCAGGAAAGCAGGGGAGUCGCAAGACCUUGCGCUGAUUGAGCGGCCGAUAUCAGAUUAGCUAGUUGGUGAGGUAAAGGACUCACCAAGGCGACGAUCUGUAGCGGGUCGUGAGAGGAUGAUCAGCCACACUGGAACUGAGACACGGUCCAGACUCCUACGGGAGGCAGCAGU